RNAcentral lists this microRNA (22 nucleotides) under Mus musculus (house mouse). RNAcentral describes it as "mmu-miR-6908-3p". The record is from miRBase by way of RNAcentral. Lineage: Eukaryota; Metazoa; Chordata; Mammalia; Rodentia; Muridae.
ACACUCUCCCUUGUGCUGGCAG